This 497-nucleotide ribosomal RNA is filed under the name uncultured bacterium. Its description in RNAcentral is "partial 16S ribosomal RNA". It matches the Rfam family "Bacterial small subunit ribosomal RNA", at positions 28 to 507 of the family's 1533-position model. The record is from RNAcentral.
GAUGAACGCUGGCGGCGUGCCUAAUACAUGCAAGUCGAGCGAACGGACGAGAAGCUUGCUUCUCUGAUGUUAGCGGCGGACGGGUGAGUAACACGUGGAUAACCUACCUAUAAGACUGGGAUAACUUCGGGAAACCGGAGCUAAUACCGGAUAAUAUUUUGAACCGCAUGGUUCAAAAGUGAAAGACGGUCUUGCUGUCACUUAUAGAUGGAUCCGCGCUGCAUUAGCUAGUUGGUAGGGUAACGGCCUACCAAGGCAACGAUGCAUAGCCGACCUGAGAGGGUGAUCGGCCACACUGGAACUGAGACACGGUCCAGACUCCUACGGGAGGCAGCAGUAGGGAAUAUUCCGCAAUGGGCGAAAGCCUGACGGAGCAACGCCGCGUGAGUGAUGAAGGUCUUCGGAUCGUAAAACUCUGUUAGUAGGGAAGAACAUAUGUGUAAGUAACUGUGCACAUCUUGACGGUACCUAAUCAGAAAGCCACGGCUAACUACGUG